This 1010-nucleotide long non-coding RNA is filed under the name Canis lupus familiaris (dog). RNAcentral's name for it is "lncRNA (ENSCAFG00000055785.1, ENSCAFG00805029833.1, ENSCAFG00845023361.1)". Lineage: Eukaryota; Metazoa; Chordata; Mammalia; Carnivora; Canidae. The record is from RNAcentral.
CCCCACAUUUAAUAAUAUUUUUGUUCUAAAUAUAUUACUCAAUGGCAUAAACAUUAUGAAGUAAAACUGGUUGGAACACAUGUUCAGAAUAAAAAGGGCUCCAUGGAGUUGUGUAUAACUGGCAAAAUGAAAGAACAAAAUUAUACAUUAAAACCUGAAUACUGGGACAAAACAAAUGGCCCGGAAUUUCUACUUUUAACUACACAAUCAAGAAAAAUGGUCAUCAGAUAGUUGAUACUAGUCAAAUCUUAGUACAAUUAUGACUAAAAAGGCUUAAAAAUGAUUCAACCUCCUUAAAACCUUUAAAUUUGGUUUUUAGUUACUAAAAAAGAUUGUCAACAGGAAGAACACUUCUACAAUUGUAGAAGAUAACUUCUGUAUUUUGCAUUGUUAAUUAUUUAUACCUUUGUGUGAUCUGCGAUGGGCCAGGGGACAAAAGAGGGUUGGAAGUAACCAACGAAAAUGGAGACCAGUAACAACAAAAAGUCAGGACCGAGAGGCUAGACUCCAGAAACUAUUUUACUGUAGUGGCUACUCAUAGGGUUAGACACCACUCCAAUCCUACCAGAUUUAAUGUCAAUAAUUUAAAAUGAAGAAAGCCUAAGAGUCAGAUUUUCCAUAGUUCACUUCAGAAAGAGCUUCUUUUACACCUUCAAACAAUUUGUAUAAUAAAAAAUUCCUCCCAGCUUUCAUUUAUAAAACAUACUGUGAGCUUCACAAACAGUAGUACUGGGGCUCAUCCACUAGCUCUGCAACUCCAGAUAAAUCUGUCCAAGCUUCAGUUUAAUAUGUAGGAUACCAGCUUACCUAAAGGGACAGUUGUGUAGACUGAAUAACAUAUAUAUAACAUACAACACAGCAAGUCCUUAAGAAAUGUUAAUUUUCUUCUUUGUGCUACUUAUUUCUCUAGAAGAUACUACUGAUAAUUUACUGAUUGUUUUAAUAUAAUUUUAUAUCAAUUAGGCAAAACCUAUCCUUUCCAAAAUCAAAUAGUAUAAUGGAAACUAAAG